Molecule: long non-coding RNA, 884 nt
Organism: Sardina pilchardus (European sardine)
Lineage: Eukaryota; Metazoa; Chordata; Actinopteri; Clupeiformes; Clupeidae
Exons: 5
Source: RefSeq, a predicted model, not a curated record
GACUUUUGUUUGUUUACUCAUGGCAACAGUUGAUAUGGACGGACAACUCUGUUUUUAGCCUUCUCCCCUCUGAAAAAAAAAUCAGAGGAAAAAUUCAGAUGGAAAAAAAUCAGUCAUUGAAAUAAUGAGUAAUUAAAAUUCUGAUAAAAAAAAAAAUCACAUAAAUGUUCACGUAAAGGAGACAGGAGUGAACUCUGCGCAUGUACAAGAGGAACGGAGGCGGGAAGCCGUAGCCGAGCCCAUUUCGAACUUUGUUUGAAACACACAGUCAGUUGAAGCCGUUGAAGAACAGCGUGAAGAUGGAACCUGCUACUGAGCACAUCAACUCUUAAGUGUGUCCCUGGAAGAUCUACCAUCAACUUCCAGAACUGCAACUGCUAGUACUGUCAGAUGGUGAAUGCUACUCAGGCAAACACCAUUGUUACACCACUUUGAAGGAGAGCCUGGUCAUUUGGUCCCCUCAGCUUCUCCCUUUCUCAGUGAUAUGUUCAUUGUGGCUGGGAGAAUUGUGGGGCACUCUUUCCUUCAUGGAGGACCCUGCUUGUCUGGACUCUGUGAUGUGGUUGUCCAUACUGCUUCGUGGGAGCCCAGACACGGCUACAGUAAACCUGGAGGACUGUGCAGACCUGGACAUUAGAGAAACAAUCAGGCUUCUGGAGGUGGAAUCAAACCUAUCAGCUGAAGAAAUGGGAAGGGUACAGAACGUGGCCUCUUCCUGGGACCUCCCUCCGCUAACCACAACCAACAGGGCCCUUAAUGCUCUGCGGUGAAAAAUGGAGCAACAAGGCUGACAUCGGGAGAGCUGAGGCAGAUCAUCUUAAACAUGAUGCACCUGGACGGUCCGGUGGCGGAGACUUCAAGAAUUAAAUAAAAUUACAAUGAAA